Unclassified non-coding RNA from Callithrix jacchus (white-tufted-ear marmoset), 316 nucleotides. It matches the Rfam family "Metazoan signal recognition particle RNA". Rfam says of the family: The signal recognition particle (SRP) is a universally conserved ribonucleoprotein. It is involved in the co-translational targeting of proteins to membranes. The eukaryotic SRP consists of a 300-nucleotide 7S RNA and six proteins: SRPs 72, 68, 54, 19, 14, and 9. NCBI's taxonomy places the organism in Eukaryota, Metazoa, Chordata, Mammalia, Primates, Cebidae. The record is from Ensembl.
GCCGGGCGCCGUGGCGCGCGCCUGUAGUCCCAGCUACUUGGAAGGCUGAGGUGGGAGGAUCCCUUGAGCCCAGGAGUUCUGGGCUGUAGUGCACCUGGGCUGUAGGGCGCUAUGCCAAUCGGGUGUCCACACUAAGUUGGGCAUCCAUAUGGUGACCUCCCAGGAGCGGGGGACCACCAGGUUGCCUAAUGAGGGGUGAACUGGUACAGGUUGGUAACAAAGCAGGUCAAAAUUCCCGUGCUGGUCAGUAGUGAAAUCGCGCCUGUGAGCAGCCACUGUACUCCAGCCUGGGCAACACAGGGAGACCCGGUCUCUA